Molecule: transfer RNA, 64 nt
Filed under: Byrsotria rothi
Lineage: Eukaryota; Metazoa; Arthropoda; Insecta; Blattodea; Blaberidae
Description: tRNA-Tyr
Source: RNAcentral
AGUAGAAUGGCUGAGAUAGGUGAAGGAUUGUAAAUCUUUUAAGGAGUUAGGGACUCUUCUACUA